AGAGUUUGAUCAUGGCUCAGGAUGAACGCUAGCGGCAGGCCUAAUACAUGCAAGUCGAACGGAAUGAGGUAGCAAUACCUUAUUUAGUGGCGCACGGGUGCGUAACGCGUAUGCAACCUACCUUUUACUGGGGGAUAGCCCGGAGAAAUCCGGAUUAAUACCGCAUAAGAUCACACGAGGGUAUCUGAGAGUGAUUAAAGAUUUAUUGGUAAAAGAUGGGCAUGCGUGCCAUUAGCUAGUUGGUAGUGUAAGGGACUACCAAGGCGACGAUGGCUAGGGGUUCUGAGAGGAUGAUCCCCCACACUGGUACUGAGAUACGGACCAGACUCCUACGGGAGGCAGCAGUAGGGAAUAUUGGGCAAUGGAGGCAACUCUGACCCAGCCAUGCCGCGUGCCGGAUGAAGGCCUUCUGGGUUGUAAACGGCUUUUAUCAGGGAAGAAACGACCUUUGCGAAGGGAAUUGACGGUACCUGGUGAAUAAGCACCGGCUAACUCCGUGCCAGCAGCCGCGGUAAUACGGAGGGUGCAAGCGUUGUCCGGAUUUAUUGGGUUUAAAGGGUGCGUAGGCGGCCCUAUAAGUCCGUGGUGAAAGCCAACAGCUCAACUGUUGAACUGCCAUGGAUACUGUAGGGCUUGAGUACAGACGAGGUAGGCGGAAUGGAUGGUGUAGCGGUGAAAUGCAUAGAUACCAUCCAGAACACCGAUUGCGAAGGCAGCUUACUAGACUGUAACUGACGCUGAGGCACGAAAGCGUGGGGAGCGAACAGGAUUAGAUACCCUAGUAGUCC
This 788-nucleotide ribosomal RNA is filed under the name uncultured bacterium. Its description in RNAcentral is "bacterial SSU rRNA". It matches the Rfam family "Bacterial small subunit ribosomal RNA", at positions 8 to 796 of the family's 1533-position model. The record is from RNAcentral.